Molecule: long non-coding RNA, 1985 nt
Filed under: Lepisosteus oculatus (spotted gar)
Lineage: Eukaryota; Metazoa; Chordata; Actinopteri; Semionotiformes; Lepisosteidae
Description: lncRNA (ENSLOCG00000022393.1)
Source: RNAcentral
CAGACUGAACUGACCUUUAACCCCUGACUGAAGACCCCCAGAGCCCCUGAAGGGCUGGGGUCUCAGAGACUGAACUGACCUUUAACCCCUGACUGGGCCCCUGAAGGGCUGGGCCGAGCCAGGUGCUGUCCAGUUGCCCAGGGGCUGGAGAAGGACGGUCUCACCACACAGUUAACAGACACUCACUGUCACGUCUUUGAAAACAACAAAAAAAGAGUUUGCAUUGCAUUGCCUUACAACAGCUCCAGGAGCAGGUUCAGCGCCAGUCCGGACCCGCCGUCACUGCAUUGCUACCAAGUGACUUGCAUUUUCAAAAAAACAUUCAAGUGCUCGGAGUUCGGUACUGACAAUAGGAGUUACUGGCACCAGAGACACGGGCUGGAUUUGGAACGACACCGAAAUGACCGCCAGAGUAAACCCCCCGAGCCUGGUGGUCUGGAGUCCUGCAGUCCGCCCUGAGCUCACUCCCUCUGCGUGCCCGACGGUGAUGAAGCAGACCCAUCAUCAUCAUCCUCCUUCCGUACCGAGAGACCACAGAGACACCCCCCACAGAGUGGACUGGGGCCCCCAGCAGAGCUGGGAAUUAAGAGGACUGGAGACUGAUGGCCAGACUGGACUUCCAGCAGCAGUGAGGCUGGGGGGUUGGCUCUUCGGCAAUGUCUGCGUCUCGAACAGGGGCGAGCCUGUUUAAAUAUGACACUUUUAUACAACAUAACCUACAAGUACCCUGCUGUCCACAGACACACACAGGACAGGACCCACUUCAUUGAGCACACGGACAGGAUUGUAGACACUGUCACCAGGACUGGACCAGAUCAUACAGUAACCCCCCAGUCCAGAGAUCGCCGGUCCAGUCUGGGUCACACUGUACCCCUACAGUCCAGAGAUCACCGGUCCAGUCUGGGUCACACUGUACCCCUACAGUCCAGAGAUCACCGGUCCAGUCUGGGUCACACUGUACCCCUACAGUCCAGAGAUCGCCGGUCCAGUCUGUGGUCUUGUGUUCCUGCUCUCCUGUGGCCCUGCCGGCUCUUCAGAGGACAGCAGGCCUGUAGUUCCAGAGUGCGGACAGCUGGACUGGCCGUCCCACGAGUUGACCGGACUUCCCGGGAUGAGGCUCGGGCUCCCCUCGACUCUUGCCGUCCCCCCGGAGUCGAGCCCCGAAACUCCCCGCCGCACAGUCACAUGACCGCGACCCGCCGUGGCGGUCGUCGCCGGACAUGGCGGGGCCUCGGCGAAUCGGGGGGCAGUGACCGCACGCGCGCGCGGGGAGCCCCGGUCCGAUGCGGAGGCCGACGCCAAGGCGGCGGAGCAGGUUCCCGGGCCACCCGGUCCGCUCCAGGUUUUACCACGAGCAGCAGAGGGAUGGGGGUCGGGAGUCCGGAAAACCUGGAGCGGAUCAGGCCGCUGUGCGCUGGGAGCAGGCCCGAGGGGACAGGGGGGGACGGGGGGGACGGGGGUCGGCCCUCUACAGCUCCUUCUUGGCCUUGCGGCUGGGCUCCUCCGCGGUCAGCAGAGACAGGAUGUCCAGGAGCGCCUGGCUGAUGUGACCCCCGAACCGAUGGGCAUCCUGAGAGAGAGAGAGGGAGGGGAGAGAGAGGAGAGGAGAGAGAGAGGGUGGAGAGAGAGGAGGGACAGAGGAAAGAGAGGAGAGGAGAGAGGAGAGAGGGGAGAGAGAGAGGAGAGGAGAUAGGGGAGAGAGGGAGGAGAGGAGGGAGAGGGGAGAGAGAGGAGAGGAGAGAGAGGAGGGACAGAGGAAAGAGAGGAGAGGAGAGAGGGGAGAGAGGGAGGAGAGGAGAGAGAGGGUGGAGAGAGAGGAGGGACAGAGGAAAGAGAGGAGAGGAGAGAGGGGAGAGAGGGAGGAGAGAGAGAAGAGGAGGGAGAGAGAGAGUGGAGAAAGAGAGAGGAGAGGAGGGAGAGAGGGAGAGGAGAGACAGGGUGGGAGAGAGAGAGAGAGAGGGAGAGGGGAGAGAGAGAAGGAGAGG